GCCUACGGCCAUACCAGUCUGAAAAUGCCUGAUCUCGUCAGAUUUCAGAAGCCAUCCAAACUCGGGCCUGGUUAGUACUUGUAUGGGAGAUCAACUAGGAACCUCAGGUGCUGUAACAA
This 119-nucleotide ribosomal RNA is filed under the name Pelobates cultripes (western spadefoot toad). Lineage: Eukaryota; Metazoa; Chordata; Amphibia; Anura; Pelobatidae. The record is from RNAcentral.